This 1381-nucleotide ribosomal RNA is filed under the name uncultured bacterium. Its description in RNAcentral is "bacterial SSU rRNA". It matches the Rfam family "Bacterial small subunit ribosomal RNA". The record is from RNAcentral.
AGAGUUUGAUCCUGGCUCAGGACGAACGCUGGCGGCGCGCCUAACACAUGCAAGUCGAACGAGAGAUGAGGAGCUUGCUCUUCAAAUCGAGUGGCGAACGGGUGAGUAACGCGUGAGGAACCUGCCUCAAAGAGGGGGACAACAGUUGGAAACGACUGCUAAUACCGCAUAAGCCCACGGCUCGGCAUCGAGCAGAGGGAAAAGGAGCAAUCCGCUUUGAGAUGGCCUCGCGUCCGAUUAGCUAGUUGGUGAGGUAACGGCCCACCAAGGCGACGAUCGGUAGCCGGACUGAGAGGUUGAACGGCCACAUUGGGACUGAGACACGGCCCAGACUCCUACGGGAGGCAGCAGUGGGGAAUAUUGCACAAUGGGGGAAACCCUGAUGCAGCGACGCCGCGUGGAGGAAGAAGGUCUUCGGAUUGUAAACUCCUGUUGUUGAGGAAGAUAAUGACGGUACUCAACAAGGAAGUGACGGCUAACUACGUGCCAGCAGCCGCGGUAAAACGUAGGGUGCAAGCGUUGUCCGGAAUUACUGGGUGUAAAGGGAGCGCAGGCGGACCGGCAAGUUGGAAGUGAAAACUAUGGGCUCAACCCAUAAAUUGCUUUCAAAACUGCUGGCCUUGGAUAGUGCAGAAGGUAGGUGGAAUUCCCGGUGUAGCGGGGGAAUGCGUAGAUAUCGGGAGGAACACCAGUGGGCGAAGGCGACCUACUGGGCACCCAACUGACGCUGAGGCUCGAAAGCAUGGGUAGCAAACAGGAUUAGAUACCCUGGUAGUCCAUGCCGUAAACGAUGAUUACUAGGUGUUGGAGGAUUGACCCCUUCAGUGCCGCAGUUAACACAAUAAGUAAUCCACCUGGGGAGUACGACCGCAAGGUUGAAACUCAAAGGAAUUGACGGGGGCCCGCACAAGCAGUGGAGUAUGUGGUUUAAUUCGAAGCAACGCGAAGAACCUUACCAGGUCUUGACAUCCUUCUGACCACUCCGUAAUGGGAGUCUUCCUUCGGGACAGAAGAGACAGGUGGUGCAUGGUUGUCGUCAACUCGUGUCGUGAGAUGUUGGGUUAAGUCCCGCAACGAGCGCAACCCCUAUCUUCAGUAGCCAGCAGGUAAGGCUGGGCACUCUGGAGAGACUGCCAGGGAUAACCUGGAGGAAGGUGGGGACGACGUCAAAUCAUCAUGCCCCUUAUGAUCUGGGCGACACACGUGCUACAAUGGCGGUCACAAAGUGAGGCGAACCUGCGAGGGGGAGCAAACCACAAAAAGGCCGUCCCAGUUCGGACUGUAGUCUGCAACCCGACUACACGAAGCUGGAAUCGCUAGUAAUCGCGAAUCAGAAUGUCGCGGUGAAUACGUUCCCGGGUCUUGCACUCACCGCCCGUCA